This 789-nucleotide ribosomal RNA is filed under the name uncultured bacterium. Its description in RNAcentral is "bacterial SSU rRNA". It matches the Rfam family "Bacterial small subunit ribosomal RNA", at positions 8 to 796 of the family's 1533-position model. The record is from RNAcentral.
AGAGUUUGAUCCUGGCUCAGAAUUAACGCUGGCAGAGUGCAUAACACAUGCAAAGUCGAGCGAGACUAGUAGCAAUAUUAGUCUAGCGGGCAGACGAGUGAGUAACACGUAAACAAUCUACCCUUGAAAUGGCGAAAUAACCAAAUCGAAAAGGCUGGCUAAAUACGCCGUACUCUCCCUUGAAAGGCAUCUUUCGAGGGGAGGGAGAGAUCCGCAAGGGAUCGUUUCUUGGGAGGGAGUUUUGCGGCCCCAUUCAGCUAGUUGGGCGGGUGUAAAUAGACCCACCCAAGGGCUACGACGGGUACCCGGCCUGAAAGGGGCGGGACGGGGCACGAAGGGCACUGAGACACGGCCAUACUCUACGGGAGGCAGCAGUGGGAAUUUGGACAAUGGCGAAAGCUGAUCCAGCAAACUUGCGUGAGGGACGAAGGUUUUCGGAUUGUAAAACUUUUUUACAUGGGAAGAAUGGCAGCAAUGCCCUGACGGUACCAUGUGAAUUAGCCACGGGCUAACUUGUGCCCAGCGCCCGCGGUAAAACAUAGGUGCCAGCGUUGUUCGGAAUUAUUUGGCGUUAAGCGCGGUUUAGGCGUUUGAUUAGUUCGGUUUUUAAGCCCUGGGCCCUACCUGGAUUGCUCGGAUACUGGCCACCUUGAGUACGGUAGGGAUACGGAUUCCCGGUGUAGCGGGAAAUCCGUAGAUAUCGGAGGAACCCUAUGGCGAAGGCGGCUACCUGACCUUUACUACGCUAGACGCGAAAGCGGGGAGCAAACAGGAUUAGAACCCGGAUCC